AUUGUGCCUUCGGGAACUCUGACACAGGUGCUGCAUGGCUGUCGUCAGCUCGUGUCGUGAGAUGUUGGUUAAGUCCGUAACGAGCGCAACCCUUGUCCUUAGUUACCAGCACGUUAUGGUGGGCACUCUAAGGAGACUGCCGGUGACAAACCGGAGGAAGGUGGGGAGUGACGUCAAGUCAUCAUGGCCCUUACGGCCUGGGCUACACACGUGCUACAAUGGUCGGUACAAAGGGUUGCCAAGCCGCGAGGUGGAGCUAAUCCCAUAAAACCGAUCGUAGUCCGGAUCGCAGUCUGCAACUCGACUGCGUGAAGUCGGAAUCGCUAGUAAUCGUGAAUCAGAAUGUCACGGUGAAUACGUUCCCGGGCCUU
Molecule: ribosomal RNA, 371 nt
Filed under: uncultured Pseudomonas sp.
Lineage: Bacteria; Pseudomonadati; Pseudomonadota; Gammaproteobacteria; Pseudomonadales; Pseudomonadaceae
Description: bacterial SSU rRNA
Rfam family: Bacterial small subunit ribosomal RNA
Source: RNAcentral